GGCGUUUUCGUUGAGCCAGUUUCCUAAACUGAGGGCCGCGUGUUCGAGUCACGCCGGGGUCACCA
RNAcentral lists this transfer RNA (65 nucleotides) under Formivibrio sp. Its description in RNAcentral is "tRNA-Ser". The record is from RNAcentral. Lineage: Bacteria; Pseudomonadati; Pseudomonadota; Betaproteobacteria; Neisseriales; Chitinibacteraceae.